RNAcentral lists this ribosomal RNA (492 nucleotides) under uncultured bacterium. Its description in RNAcentral is "partial 16S ribosomal RNA". It matches the Rfam family "Bacterial small subunit ribosomal RNA", at positions 29 to 507 of the family's 1533-position model. The record is from RNAcentral.
AGUGAACGCUGGCGGUAGGCCUAACACAUGCAAGUCGAACGGCAGCACAGUAAGAGCUUGCUCUUACGGGUGGCGAGUGGCGGACGGGUGAGGAAUACAUCGGAAUCUACUUUUUCGUGGGGGAUAACGUAGGGAAACUUACGCUAAUACCGCAUACGACCUACGGGUGAAAGCAGGGGAUCUUCGGCCCUUGCGCGAUUGAAUGAGCCGAUGUCGGAUUAGCUAGUUGGCGGGGUAAAGGCCCACCAAGGCGACGAUCCGUAGCUGGUCUGAGAGGAUGAUCAGCCACACUGGAACUGAGACACGGUCCAGACUCCUACGGGAGGCAGCAGUGGGGAAUAUUGGACAAUGGGCGCAAGCCUGAUCCAGCCAUGCCGCGUGGGUGAAGAAGGCCUUCGGGUUGUAAAGCCCUUUUGUUGGGGAAGAAAAGCAGCAGGUUAAUACCCCGCUGUUCUGACGGUACCCAAAGAAUAAGCACCGGCUAACUUCGUG